This 73-nucleotide transfer RNA is filed under the name Capra hircus (goat). It matches the Rfam family "tRNA". Rfam says of the family: Transfer RNA (tRNA) molecules are approximately 80 nucleotides in length. Their secondary structure includes four short double-helical elements and three loops (D, anti-codon, and T loops). The record is from Rfam by way of RNAcentral. Lineage: Eukaryota; Metazoa; Chordata; Mammalia; Artiodactyla; Bovidae. RNAcentral also lists the same sequence under 2 other names.
UCCCUGGUGGUCCAGUGGUUAGGACUCUGUGCUUCCACUGCAGGGGACCAGGGUUCAAUCCCUGGUCUGGGAA